This 301-nucleotide ribosomal RNA is filed under the name uncultured bacterium. Its description in RNAcentral is "partial 16S ribosomal RNA". It matches the Rfam family "Bacterial small subunit ribosomal RNA", at positions 509 to 807 of the family's 1533-position model. The record is from RNAcentral.
CAGUCGCCACGGUAAUACGGAGGGGGCUAGCGUUGUUCGGAAUUACUGGGCGUAAAGCGCACGUAGGCGGCUUGGUAAGUUAGAGGUGAAAGCCCGGAGCUCAACUCCGGAAUUGCCCUUAAGACUGCCGAGCUAGUAGGUGAGAGAGGUAAGUGGAAUUCCGAGUGUAGAGGUGAAAUUCGUAGAUAUUCGGAAGAACACCAGUGGCGAAGGCGGCUUACUGGCUCAUUCUAGACGCUGAGGUGCGAAAGCGUGGGGAGCAAACAGGAUUAGAUACCCGCGUAGUCCCUGUCUCUUAUAC